GUUCCAUGGUGUGGGCACUUCCUUUGAAGAGUUCCUAUGCCUCAUACAGAGACUCACCUUCGUAUUGUUUGAAAUUGACAAUUUCUUGCCUGAGCUG
Gossypium hirsutum (cotton) is the source of this 97-nucleotide non-coding RNA. The record is from Rfam. Lineage: Eukaryota; Viridiplantae; Streptophyta; Magnoliopsida; Malvales; Malvaceae.